This 443-nucleotide ribosomal RNA is filed under the name uncultured bacterium. RNAcentral's name for it is "partial 16S ribosomal RNA". It matches the Rfam family "Bacterial small subunit ribosomal RNA", at positions 338 to 795 of the family's 1533-position model. The record is from RNAcentral.
CCUACGGGGGGCUGCAGUGGGGAAUAUUGGACAAUGGGGGGAACCCUGAUCCAGCGACGCCGCGUGAGUGAAGAAGUAUUUCGGUAUGUAAAGCUCUAUCAGCAGGGAAGAAAGAAAUGACGGUACCUGACUAAGAAGCUCCGGCUAACUACGUGCCAGCAGCCGCGGGAAUACGUAGGGGGCAAGCGUUAUCCGGAUUUACUGGGAGUAAAGGGAGCGGAGACGGCGGUGCAAGUCUGAAGUGAAAGGCGGGGGCCCAACCCCUGGACUGCUUUGGAAACUGUAUGGCUGGAGUGCAGGAGAGGUAAGUGGAAUUCCUAGUGUAGCGGUGAAAUGCGUAGAUAUUAGGAAGAACACCAGUGGCGAAGGCGGCUUACUGGACUGUAACUGACGUUGAGGCUCGAAAGCGUGGGGAGCAAACAGGAUUAGAUACCCUUGUAGUC